CGACCCCUAAGCCUUAGUUGUUUAGCGUUGGGAGUUUGCAACCUCGUGGUUUAGCCGCGACGCAACUCCUUAAAUUUUCGUGGCAGGGCUCGCGUCGCCUUGAAGUGUAGUAAUUUUCUUCUCACUUUUAGAAGGCGUUCGCGCGGCGCAGCCAAGUGAAACAUACAUAUAUCAAGU
RNAcentral lists this unclassified non-coding RNA (177 nucleotides) under uncultured Xylariaceae. RNAcentral describes it as "sequence contains ITS2". The record is from RNAcentral. Lineage: Eukaryota; Fungi; Ascomycota; Sordariomycetes; Xylariales; Xylariaceae.